RNAcentral lists this ribosomal RNA (515 nucleotides) under uncultured bacterium. RNAcentral's name for it is "partial 16S ribosomal RNA". It matches the Rfam family "Bacterial small subunit ribosomal RNA", at positions 28 to 523 of the family's 1533-position model. The record is from RNAcentral.
GAUGAACGCUGGCGGCGUGCCUAAUACAUGCAAGUCGAGCGAAUGGAUUGAGAGCUUGCUCUUAUGAAGUUAGCGGCGGACGGGUGAGUAACACGUGGGUAACCUGCCCAUAAGACUAGGAUAACUCCGGGAAACCGGGGCUAAUACCGGAUAACAUUUUGAACCGCAUGGUUCGAAAUUGAAAGGCGGCUUCGGCUGUCACUUAUGGAUGGACCCGCUUCGCAUUAGCUAGUUGGUGAGGUAACGGCUCACCAAGGCAACGAUGCGUAGCCGACCUGAGAGGGUGAUCGGCCACACUGGGACUGAGACACGGCCCAGACUCCUACGGGAGGCAGCAGUAGGGAAUCUUCCGCAAUGGACGAAAGUCUGACGGAGCAACGCCGCGUGAGUGAUGAAGGCUUUCGGGUCGUAAAACUCUGUUGCUAGGGAAGAACAAGUGCUAGUUGAAUAAGCUGGCACCUUGACGGUACCUAACCAGAAAGCCACGGCUAACUACGUGCCAGCCGCCGCCGUAA